GCGGGCUUGGCCGAAUGGUCAGGCAGCGGCCUUCCAAGCCGAGUUCACCGGUUCAAUCCCGCUAGCCCGCUCCA
RNAcentral lists this transfer RNA (74 nucleotides) under Pandoraea apista. RNAcentral describes it as "tRNA-Gly". It matches the Rfam family "tRNA". Rfam says of the family: Transfer RNA (tRNA) molecules are approximately 80 nucleotides in length. Their secondary structure includes four short double-helical elements and three loops (D, anti-codon, and T loops). Lineage: Bacteria; Pseudomonadati; Pseudomonadota; Betaproteobacteria; Burkholderiales; Burkholderiaceae. The record is from RNAcentral.